UACUGCAUGGACAGAUACCUAAGAGAAGAAUAUUAAGAACAUGCAGAGAGUCUACACAGAACGGAGACAGGUUUUGAUCAGCAAAGAACUCUUCAGAAGUCAGAAAGUGAUAAGUCAGACAUCUGGAAACCCAUAAGGAGUUGGAUUUAGACGCUGAGGACUUUGCAGACUUUCAGCACUUCACUCUUCCUCCCAACAUUGAGCGACCAGCCACUUGCAAGCAGAGGACAGUAAGACCUUUAAGGAGGUGCCAGAGYGCCAGGGCUCACUUUCAAGGCCAUACAAGGCAGAAGUCUCUUGGUCGUCGUGACAGUAACCAAUCUCAAGUGGCAUUCAGCAGCACCAUUGUGAGUACAAGCAGACGGAGCUGAUGCAUUUG
This is a long non-coding RNA of Nothoprocta perdicaria, 379 nucleotides long. RefSeq lists it as uncharacterized. The transcript is spliced from 2 exons. The record is from RefSeq and is a predicted model, not a curated record. Lineage: Eukaryota; Metazoa; Chordata; Aves; Tinamiformes; Tinamidae.